This 341-nucleotide ribosomal RNA is filed under the name Colletotrichum gloeosporioides f. sp. manihotis. RNAcentral's name for it is "eukaryotic LSU rRNA". The stretch from base 1 to 98 matches the Rfam family "5.8S ribosomal RNA", at positions 56 to 154 of the family's 154-position model. The record is from RNAcentral. Lineage: Eukaryota; Fungi; Ascomycota; Sordariomycetes; Glomerellales; Glomerellaceae.
GGAAUGAGUAUGAGCAUUGCUGAUUGAGUACAUCAUCGAAUCUUUGAACGCACAUUGCGCCCGCCAGCAUUCUGGCGGGCAUGCCUGUUCGAGCGUCAUUUCAACCCUCAAGCACCGCUUGGCGUUGGGGCCCUACGGCUUCCGUAGGCCCCGAAAUACAGUGGCGGACCCUCCCGGAGCCUCCUUUGCGUAGUAACAUAACACCUCGCACUGGGAUCCGGAGGGACUCCUGCCGUAAAACCCCCCAAUUUUCCAAAGGUUGACCUCGGAUCAGGUAGGAAUACCCGCUGAACUUAAGCAUAUCAAUAAGCGGAGGAACUGCGUUCUUCAUCGAUGCAUUC